AUGGGGGGAGGUGAAAUAACAGCAGCAGCAGCAGCAGAGGAAGAGGAUGAUGGGGUACUGCUUUUCCCAGCUCAUCUCUGUGACUCGCUUCGGGAAUUGGAGUUCUAUGACUGCCCAGAGCUGUUCCUGGUGGACCCACCAACUCUUGUUCCUGGAAGAGGAUGGCUCCAAGCCUUGCAAUCCCUCCAGAGAUUAACAAUAAUGUUUUGCCCAAAGUUUCUAUUUGCCUUUUCUUUUUCCCGUCAUAUUUUUCCUUCCUCCCUGCAGUUCCUGCAGCUUAUGGGUGUUGAAGGCAUGGGGACACUAGAGCCCCUCUCAAACCUCUCCUCUCUUACCAGAUUACGAUACUUCAGCAAGGAGCAAGAGGACGCCCUUCAGCUCCUCUCCUCCCUGCAGGAACUUAAGUUUGAGAGUUUCAAGAACCUUCAACAACUCCCUGCAGGGCUGCAAAACCUUACCAGCCUCAAGAUAUUAUCAAUCUCCGUCUGUCCAGCAGUGUCGUCAUUACCGAGCGAUGGCCUCCCGAGAUCACUACAAGAGCUAAAUUGUUUUGCUACUGAUAAGGUUUGCAGUUUUGCCAUCCAGGAUCUUCAGAAGAAUAACCGGCAAAUCAACCAAUCCACCAACAGACUGGCAGAGCUGCACAUAAGUUAA
This 654-nucleotide ribosomal RNA is filed under the name Triticum aestivum (bread wheat). RNAcentral describes it as "partial small subunit ribosomal RNA". The record is from RNAcentral. Lineage: Eukaryota; Viridiplantae; Streptophyta; Magnoliopsida; Poales; Poaceae.